This 6818-nucleotide long non-coding RNA is filed under the name Gossypium raimondii (Peruvian cotton). RNAcentral describes it as "long non-coding RNA (GRAI_LNC000911)". The record is from RNAcentral. Lineage: Eukaryota; Viridiplantae; Streptophyta; Magnoliopsida; Malvales; Malvaceae.
UCAAUCCCUUUGUCCCCAAACCCUGCUCAAUACCACCUUGAACUUCAACCUUUUGAGUUAUGCUUGGAACCUUGAGAACAUAACAUUGUAUUACCAUUGCCCUUUGAUUUCCAACAUAUCUUCAGGGUUUCCAAGUCUGUUUAACUGCAGCACCAGCAAUGGGACAGAUAUGGUGAAUUACUAUGUUAUAGCAUCUGUUCUGGGCAACCUUUCAACUGAAGUGAAAGAUGGGUUGGGAUCUUGUGAUAGCCAUGUGAUUGUUCCAGCUUUUUAUACUGCAGUUGAGACAAUCAAGAGAAACCCAACUCCAGAUACUUUGGUUUUGCCUCUUGGUAAUGGAUUUGGAUUGAAAUGGGAUGCAAAUAUAGCUUCCAAAUGUGAAGACUGCAAUGGUUCUGGUGGUAGGUGUGGGUAUAAUAACAGUUUGAAUCAAUUCACUUGUUAUUGCCCAAAUCAUACUGAUGCAUCAACUUGUCUUCAACCAGGUAUGCAGUAAAAACACAUUUUCUUUUGAGUAAUUAGAGUUUUUGGAUCAAAUUAAUUAGGUUUCUUGGUUUAACUGCUUCAUAUAUGCAUUUAGAGAGCACUAUAUAAAUUUUUUUCUAAAACCAGCAACUUUUUCAACCAUGUGAGGUCUCAAAAUCUAGGUGCUUCCAUCCCUUUGAUAUGUUAAAGUUGUGAGCUCUACAUGGAUUCUCAAUGCUUGGUAGCAUAAAUUAAAGAAUUCAAAAGAAAAAAAAGUGUUGAAUCAGCUGUCUGUAUUUGAAAUAUAGUUUAGGUGAAAGGCAUCAACUUUAAAGCUGACAAAUUUGAACAUAUGUUAUUAUUCUAAAGUAACAUGCUUGCUUUUCAGCAGGAACAAGGAAAUAUAGCCAAAGAAACAGCUAUAUCUUUACUGCUAAAAAACCCCCCACUUUGCUGGCACUUAUGGAUCGUAAAAUUUUAAAAUUUUAGAACAUAGUAUUUGCAAAUUACAUUUCAUUUUUUAUUAAUUUUUUUCUUUAAAUCCAAAUACAUAUCAGAUAUGAAUAUAAAACACGAAUAAUUUAAGAAAAAUGUACGUCUAGGUAACAUGAUUGUCUAUUUUAUGUUCCAGGGUCGUCUGUUGGUACCAGUUUGAAGAUUAAGCUGAUCAUAGGUAAUAAACACAUUCUUAUAUCUGUGUUUAGAAGAAUGAAAAAUCAACUAAUAUUUCUGACAAAAGAUAAUUGACCAUUCAUUUAAAACAGGGUUUACAGUGGUAGGUGCUACUAUCAUGGUAGUUUGCUUUAUGGUGUUUGCCUUGAGACUUAAGAAAGGAUCGUUGUCAAGUGGAAUGCUGAUGAGUUUGCAGCGAAAUAAAAGGAAGAACAGUGAAAGGAUUGAGGCAUUCAUCAUGAGAUAUGGUUCAGAUCUUGCUCCGAAGCGGUAUUCUUAUUCGGACAUCAAGAAAAUCACCAAGUCGUUCAAAGACAAGCUUGGCGAAGGCGGAUUCGGCAGUGUCUACAAAGGUAAGCUCCCAGGUGGACGUCUUGUUGCAGUUAAAGUCUUGAGUGAAUCUAGGGAAGAUGGAGAGGAAUUCAUUAACGAAGUGGCGAGUAUUAGUCGAACUUCUCAUGUUAACGUAGUGACGUUUCUUGGAUUUUGUUAUGAGAGUUCGAUAAGAGCUUUGUUAUAUGAGUUCAUGCCGAAUGGAUCGCUGGAUAAGUACAUCUACCACCACAGAUCACCAGAUAAAAGCUGUAUACUGAACCGGGAAACAAUGUUUGAAAUUGCUGUCGGCGUUGCACGAGGGUUGGAAUAUCUACAUCGAGGAUGUAACACGAGAAUUUUGCACUUAGACAUAAAACCUCAUAACAUCCUUUUAGACGAAAACUUUGUUCCCAGGAUUUCGGAUUUUGGUCUUGCUAAGUUAUGUGAGCGGAAGGGAAGCAUUCUUUCGUCGAUAACCGCACGAGGAACGAUAGGAUACAUUGCUCCAGAACUAUUUUGUCGAAACUUCGGAGGCGUUUCUUACAAAUCCGAUGUUUAUAGCUAUGGGAUGAUGGUUCUUGAAAUGGUUGGAGCGAAGGAAAACACUCAUGUCGGAGGGUCUUUAACAAGUGAAAUGAACUUCCCUUCAUGGAUUUACGAACAUCUCAAACAAGAAGCAUUCAAUCUUGAAGGAAUCACGGUGGAAGAUGAAGAAAUAACUAGGAAGAUGAUUAUAGUGAGCUUAUGGUGCAUUCAAACUAAUCCAUCAGACCGACCAUCAAUGACUAAAGUACUAGAAAUGUUACAAGGAAACCUUCAAUCACUAGCAACUCCACCAAGACCUUUCUUGUUUUCUCCUCAACGAUCGCCCCCAAACUCCUUGUCGGCAAUAUCAUUUUUUGCAUCUUCCAUUACCAUGAAUAUCGAAUAAUAAGGCUGCGGUAAAAUUUUUGACUUCACCAAAGAAUUAAGAUUUUAGAAAGUAUUUUCUUUUUUACUUUUUAAAACAUUUAACCUGUUUUACCUAAUAGAAAAGUUUUAAUGUAUAUUUCAUUAGAGUUGUUUAUCAAGGAGAUCAGGUUCGGAAUGAACCAUUGUAUGGUAAAACAAUCAAUAUUUGUUCCAAGUUUAGCUUAGUUCGAUAUAUGAGCUUCAAUUUUUACUGAAGUCCUUUUAUAUUUUGCAAAUGAUUAACACAAUCCUACCAUAUUAAAGAAAAAGGUUUAAUUUAUACUAAUUUAAUUUUAUUAUUUAAUAUUUUUAAUUAAAAUUUUAAAGAUGAACAAUGAAACAUAUUUUUAAUAUUAAUAUUAUAGUAUUAUCUAUAUUAUUUGUUGAGUGUUUUACUGAGUUAGUGUUACCCUCAACCGGUUACCAUCUCAUGUAGGAAAAUUACGAAAAUACUCUUUCGUAAGUAAGUUAUAAUUUUCGAGAGUAUUUUAAUCUUUUUAUUUUUAAAAAAAUCAAUAAAAAUAUGUAUAAGAUAGGGUUUGAACUCGCACCAAUUAAAUUAAUAAAACUUUAAAUUUACCACACAACUAAAAUUUCACUUUAAUAUCCAGAAUUUAUUAUCUCUAUUAGUUAUAUAUAGACCUAAUCAUGGGUUGGGACACCCGGCCCAGCCCAAAGGCCCACCAUAAAUGUGUGAGGGUUUGGAUAAAAAUAUAGGCCCAAAAAAUAGGCUUGGACAAAAAAAAUAAGUCUCAUUUAAAAAAUAGGUCGGGCAUCGGGUAAGGUAUUUUAGCCCGGCCCGGCCCGAAUUCACUAAAAGACAAUUUUUUUAAUGUUAUUUUCUUGUUAUUUUCUCCCUAUUUUGCUACUAUUUUACUAUCAUGUUGCUACUAUUUUAUUGUUAUUGUUUAGAUAUUGUAUAAAACUUAUUUUUAUUAUUAAUUUUGUUAUUAUUUUAAAGGCAUUUGUUAAUUUUGUUAUUAUUUUAGAGGCAUUUGCUUGUUAAGUUGUAUUUAUCUUAGUGUUAUUUAAGUCUACAUACUUUUUAAAAUUUAUUUUCAAUUUGUUGGGAAAUAUUUAUUUUGGUGUUUUUAGUAUUUUUGAUGUAUUAUAUAUAUUUAAAAAUAAUAUAAAAAAUUAAUACGGGCAGGCCAAAUCGGACUCGGGUUUUAGCAUUUUUAUCUAGGUAGGGCUCGGGCAAAAUUUUAGGCCCGUUUUUUGAGCCGAGCCCGGGCCUAGUAAAUGGGUCUAUAUUUUUAAUUGAGCCCGGACCGGCCCAGCCCAUGAGCACCUCUAGUUGUAUAUAUUAAUAAUAUUUUUAAUUGAAUUGAUGUCCCAAAUUACCUCGACAUUAACUCACAAUUGAUGACAACACCAUAAUAAAUAAUUGUAGUGCAUUUAGUAUUGUUAAUUUGAUGUAUUUAUGUUGUUAAUUUCAUGUGUUAUUAUGUUUAAUUAUUUUAAACCAUAUAUUUCAUUGUUUAUUAUAUGUUAGUUUUAAAAAUAUAUGUGUUUUAAAUUUAUGAUUUUCACACACAUACACAUGUGAUAGGAUUUCCAAUAUAUUAUUAUAGAUUUAAGUUAGAUUUAAGUUACAUAAUAUAAUAUAAUACAAUACUUAAAAACAAAUUGGAUAAGGUUAGACUAAAGCUAUGAAUAUUAAAAUUCAAGUCUUGAACAUAUUUUGUAUUGAUUAAAAUUUUUUUUAUCUAUAGGGUACAUACCUCCAAAACUAAUUCAAUUAUAAAAUAUUUUGCCCACAUUUUAGUCCAUAGAUUCAAGAUGCCUUGGUUGCCCAACUUUCCAUGGUUCUCCUCGUUAGUCGUUACCUCUUUUCUAGGUAAGCAUGAGUUAAUAUGUUUACUUUUUUUUUUAAUAAUUUUGUUAUAAAUUUUGAUCAUAUUUGUUUUUUAUAUAACAUCUAGAAUUAUUUAUAGUCCUUCCUUAACCAAUAAAUAAGAGAAUAAUGCACUUCAGCACAAUCAAACUCACGUUCUUCUGCAUUUGCAAUAAUGUUAAUAUUAAUUGAACUAAAACUCAAAUUGAUUAAUACAUCUAAUUCUUAAAUCAUAUUUUUCAAAUUCUACAAUUAGUACCGUUUUUAUAUAUUCUAAAUUUUUAUCUAUGAUAUUUUUAAAAUCAAUAUUGAUUCCAACAAUUCAACAGAGGUAGUGAAAAUUCUUAGAACAUGCAAUGAAGUUGAAAGAUUUCUUUUUUAAUUUCUGGAAGUAAAUAUUUUCCUUUGUCCUAUCACUCUCAACAACACACCACUUGAAAAUCAGAGUAUUCAACCAUUUUAUUUUCCACAUCUAAAAAUAAAAUAAAAUUAGAGUAAGGUUGAAUCCAAUGGAGAUAGAAUAAAUAGAAUAAAAUUUUGCCAUGACUAGAAAUUAGUUGGGAUCAUGACUAGGUAAACUGUAAUUAAAUAAAUACAAGAAGAGGUUUUAAUUAUUCUAAAAUUAAAGAAAUAAAUACAAUCAAUAGGAAAUGAGAUAGAAAAUAGAAAAUCAAAAUUAUGAAUAAGAAAUCAACUAUGUUAGUCUUGGUAUGAUGACAUAUUUCUUUUCAUUUAUAAGUCAACUAUAGUAAUCCAAAAACAACUUCAAAUCACUACUUUUUUUUUUCUUAAAUUGUAAUUUAAAUACGAAAACAAUUGUCAAUCGAAUAUUUCUAAGAGAGUUUCUAGAAUUUAAUUCAUCAACAAUCUGACAUAUUAGAAGAGCCUUACAAAUUAAAAAGAUCUGAAUCUAAUCAACAAACUCAACUGUCCUAUUUCUUUUAUAUAUUCUUUUUAAUUUUUGUACUAUAUUUUAUACACACCUGUCAUCAAUUCAACGUAUCAAAUAUUUUCCCAUAAAAAUACCAUAUUUUACUAAAAUUAAUAUCAUACACCUUACAAAAAAUAGCAUACAAUCAUGACCAGUCUUUUCUUCAUAAUCUACCCAAAAAAUGUCAAAUAUGCGCCCAACAAUUAUGUAAGAUAUAUUAAAUUACAUUUUAUAUCUAAGAGAUGAAAAUUGUAAUUAGAUUAAUUAUAAGCAUUAAAGUUAAUGAUUGAGAUAAAUAUAGAAGCAGCGACUAAAUUAAUAAAGAGUAUCUUGAUUUGUUUCUUUUUAACUACUGUCGAUUUUUGGCUUACUUUGGUUUCCAGUACUGUUCUUGGAACUUAAUAUCCUUGCUGACUUAAAUUAAUAAAGCUGCACCAUUUUAUACAAGCAAUCGAACAAUAUCCUUAGUUCUCACUUUUCCUUUUCGAUUAUAAAUGAUAUUUGGGUUGGAAACGUAGAUCCACUCACUAACUUUUCACGACUUUUAUAAGAUUCAAUAAUGGCUAACCAAGUUUCCAUGACUAUUCCUUUUCUUAUAUACCCCUUUCUUUCUGCAAUCUAAAGUCUUUCAAUUUUGUCCUCUUAAAAAUAUCAACAAAGAUGGGGAACUUCCUUUUAACUUUCAAGUGACUAGAAUCAUUAAUAACUUCUUUAACCAUAAAGGUUCUCUUGAUGACAUUCAUAAUAUUCUAAUUUCUUCCAUUUCCUAGUUGAUGUAACCUUUACUUUUUUGGUUAGGAUGAAAAUUUUUGCCAAAUUCUCUCUCAAGCUAGUGUUUUUACCAAACAACAUGGCUUCCUUUAAUAUCUCUGCGACCUCAUCAUCCCUGGUUUUUUUCAUCAUCAUCAUCCUUUUAUUAGCUCAAGUUCCAACCUUAUCAAGUUCAAGCAAUGACAACUAUAUGGUCUGCAGCAAACAAUUCCAUUGUGGGAACCUCAAAAAUGUUAGCUACCCUUUUUGGGGAGGUGACAGGCCUGAGAAUUGUGGGCAACCAGGGUUAAAGUUAACUUGCCUGGAAGAUGAAGAAACCCAGAUCACAAUCAUGUCAGUAAGUUACAAAGUCAUCGAAAUCAACAUGGAUAUACAAGCUUUCACUGUAGCCAGAACUGAUUAUCUUCAAAACCUUUGUCCCCAAACCCUGCUCAAUACCACCUUGAACUUCAACCUUUUGAGUUAUGCUUGGAACCUUGAGAACAUAACAUUGUAUUACCAUUGCCCUUUGAUUUCCAACAUAUCUUCAGGGUUUCCAAGUCUGUUUAACUGCAGCACCGGCAAUGGAACAGAUAUGGUGAACUACUAUGUUAUAGCAUCUGUUCUGGGCAACCUUUCAACUGAAGUGAAAGAUGGGUUGAGAUCUUGUGAUAGCCAUGUGAUUGUUCCAGCUUUUUAUACUGCAGUUGAGACAAUCAAGAGCAACCCAACUCCAGACACUUUGGUUUUGCCACUUGGUAAUGGAUUUGGAUUGAAAUGGGAUGCAAAUAUAGCUUCCAAAUGUGAAGACUGCAAUGGUUCUGGUGGUAGGUGUGGAUAUAAUAAGAGUUCGAAUCAAUUCACUUGUUAUUGCCCAAAUCAUACUGAUGCAUCAAC